UUUGACCUCAAAUCAGGUAGGAUUACCCGCUGAACUUAAGCAUAUCAAUAAGCGGAGG
RNAcentral lists this ribosomal RNA (58 nucleotides) under Hanseniaspora opuntiae. RNAcentral describes it as "partial 26S ribosomal RNA". It matches the Rfam family "Eukaryotic large subunit ribosomal RNA", at positions 1 to 56 of the family's 3401-position model. Lineage: Eukaryota; Fungi; Ascomycota; Saccharomycetes; Saccharomycodales; Saccharomycodaceae. RNAcentral also lists the same sequence under 1 other name. The record is from RNAcentral.